CAAUAGCGUAUAUUAAAGUUGUUGCAGUUAGAACGCUCGUAGUCGGAUUUCGGGGCGGGCCGACCGGUCUGCCGAUGGGUAUGCACUGGUCGGCGCGUCCUUCCUUCCGGAGACCGUCCCUACUCUUAACUGAGCGGGGGCGGGAGACGGGACUUUUACUUUGAAAAAAUCAGAGUGUUUCAAGCAGGCAGCCCGCUCUUGCAUGGAUUAGCAUGGGAUAAUGAAAUAGGACUUUGGUGCUAUUUUGUUGGUUUCGAACACCGAAGUAAUGAUGAGAAGGGACAGUCAGGGGCACUCGUAUUCCGCCGAGAGAGGUGAAAUUCUCAGACCAGCGGAAGACGAACCACUGCGAAAGCAUUUGCCAGGGAUGUUUUCACUGA
This 380-nucleotide ribosomal RNA is filed under the name uncultured eukaryote. RNAcentral's name for it is "partial 18S ribosomal RNA". It matches the Rfam family "Eukaryotic small subunit ribosomal RNA", at positions 592 to 976 of the family's 1831-position model. The record is from RNAcentral.